Long non-coding RNA from Oncorhynchus tshawytscha (Chinook salmon), 296 nucleotides. NCBI's taxonomy places the organism in Eukaryota, Metazoa, Chordata, Actinopteri, Salmoniformes, Salmonidae. The record is from Ensembl.
GACAUGAUAAACAGCUUUGUGGAAUGCACUCAGAAAACGACCAAGUGGGGGGUGUUCCCUUACAAGGAAGAGGGGAAACAGUCGUGGCCAUGGUGGAAAAAGUUGAGGCCUUUACUAGGAAGCUUGAGUUGUUUGAUUUGGACUUGUCAUCUGAAAGGCUACUGGAUUUCAACACACUGAAGAAACGACAAGCAGAGGGACCAGGCCACAGCAUUGUCAUAGAAGUGAUAUAAUAUUUCAUCAAGCAGCUAAGGGACAAUUUCUUCACCAGAUUUGAAGUCUGCAGUCUACCCAGG